Molecule: ribosomal RNA, 253 nt
Filed under: uncultured bacterium
Lineage: Bacteria
Description: partial 16S ribosomal RNA
Rfam family: Bacterial small subunit ribosomal RNA
Source: RNAcentral
UACAGAGGGGGCAAGCGUUGUUCGGAAUUACUGGGCGUAAAGGGCGCGUAGGCGGCCUUCUAAGUCGAACGUGAAAUCCCCGGGCUCAACCCGGGAACUGCGUCCGAUACUGGAAGGCUUGAAUCCGGGAGAGGGAUGUGGAAUUCCAGGUGUAGCGGUGAAAUGCGUAGAGAUGUGGAGGAAUACCGAUGGCGAAGGCAGCCCCCUGGGAUAACACUGACGCUCAUGCACGAAAGCGUGGGGAGCAAACAGG